This is a non-coding RNA of Cinara cedri, 455 nucleotides long. Lineage: Eukaryota; Metazoa; Arthropoda; Insecta; Hemiptera; Aphididae. The record is from the annotation of a GenBank genome assembly.
UGAAUUAUUUCGACAAAUUUUACAUUACACACUAUAACGAUAUAGGUAUACUUGAAUUUUGAAUAAAAAGUUGUAAACGAUAGUACUUAAUAAUAAUAAUAAUAAUAAUAUAAUAGCACGUUUAAAACGACAACCGAAGAUAAUACGAAUUUAAAUACAACACACAUAAAUAAUAUUGAAAUCGAGUGUUGGAAAUACGUAAGUACUUAUAGAUUGUAUUGAAAUGUCAAAUUUAAGCUCUAAUAUGAUGUACUUGUACGAAUCGGAUUUUCGUUCUAACUAUAUAACUAUUUUAACACACGAAAUAGAUGAGUGCCAUACACACUAGGCGAAAUUCCAUAAUACGCAACUUUGGCCUGCAGUUAGUAUAGGUAUGCAGGUGCAAGGUGUUUAUAGACCCGACCUUUGAACCACACACUUUUCCUCGGUAUAAAUGUAAAACUAGACGGCGCAUU